CCUUCGAGUGCUGCACUUUGGGAGACUCCCGCCGCAAUCAUUUCAUUUGGAAAGAUGGCGGACCACAGAUUUUCAUUUUCUUCCGUGAGAUACCAGGGCGCAGUGAUGCAAUGUCAGAGCACAAAGAGGACAUGGGGACAAAGAUGGCGGUUGCACAUUCACAAUCAGAUAGAGAAUCUCUGAGCAAAACGGAGGUGCAGAGGACAGC
Molecule: long non-coding RNA, 208 nt
Organism: Alosa alosa (allis shad)
Lineage: Eukaryota; Metazoa; Chordata; Actinopteri; Clupeiformes; Clupeidae
Exons: 3
Source: RefSeq, a predicted model, not a curated record